GUAAUCUUCAAACCAUCCUGCAAAGUGGAUGUUAUCACCAUUUUACACAGGAGAAAACAGAGUCUCGGAGAAAACAAGGACCUUGUUCAAGACUACACAGUCAGAAAGCGGUGGAGGCGGGGCUCAAACUCAGUCCUGGAAAUCCCCAGCCAGCCCAGAAGCGCUUUCAAGGCAAGCAGCUUACUUUGGCCUCACAGCAUGACAGAGACUCAGGAGAUAGUGCUGCAUCAGCCAUGUCCUUUGGAGUGACCCCAUUUUGUCAGCCGUCCGCCCUGGGCCGAUGCGUCAGACCGAGAGGAGAACGGAGGUCGGGCCCUGGGGAGCCAGCGCUGGGGAAACAUGAACGCUGUGUUUAAAGGGGAGAAGGCACCCGGGAAGCACAGUGGUCCCCAAUCCGCGGCUUCACUUUCUGCGCUUUCCGGUACCGUGGUCAACGGCAGUCUCAAAAUAUUGAACGGAAAAUUUCAGAAAUAAACAAUUCAUAAGUUUUAAAUUGUGCACCUUUCCAAGUAGCAUGAUGAAACCUCGUGCCGUGCCACUCCGUCUGUCCGGGACGUGGGUUGUCCCUUUAUCCAGUGGAUCCACACUGUACACCUGCCUGCCUGUCAGUCGUU
Molecule: long non-coding RNA, 614 nt
Organism: Equus caballus (horse)
Lineage: Eukaryota; Metazoa; Chordata; Mammalia; Perissodactyla; Equidae
Source: Ensembl